AGCCCGGUGGUGUAGCGGACAAGCAUGGCGGGCUUUGGACCCGCAGAACGGGGGUUCGAAUCCCCCCCGGGCUACCA
This 77-nucleotide transfer RNA is filed under the name Thermoprotei archaeon. RNAcentral describes it as "tRNA-Gln". It matches the Rfam family "tRNA". From Rfam's summary of the family: Transfer RNA (tRNA) molecules are approximately 80 nucleotides in length. Their secondary structure includes four short double-helical elements and three loops (D, anti-codon, and T loops). Lineage: Archaea; Thermoproteati; Thermoproteota; Thermoprotei. The record is from RNAcentral.